This is a long non-coding RNA of Alnus glutinosa, 817 nucleotides long. RefSeq lists it as uncharacterized. NCBI's taxonomy places the organism in Eukaryota, Viridiplantae, Streptophyta, Magnoliopsida, Fagales, Betulaceae. The record is from RefSeq and is a predicted model, not a curated record. The transcript has 4 exons.
CAGAGAUUCGUCCUCAAUCCCAUCAAUUUAGGUUAGUUUUUGUCAUACAGGCAUGGGUAUUUUCCCUGCAGGCCUUCCUUUUUUCCAUGUAGGCUACAGCUUCGUUUUUUCCGUUGUAUAUGGUCACCGGGAAUUCUCUUACUCCCUGUGAUGUGUAGUUGAUCGAUCUAUACACGAUUUGCAGGAUACAUAGCCGUAUGUGAAGAUUAAUCUCUCUUUCUGUGGAUUUGUCUGUCUGGACCAAGGUUUUUCUGUUCAACCUUCGUUCUUGCCCCCACCGGCUUCGUUCCUGCCGUUGUAUAUGGUCUCCGCAGCGAUCGGACAUCGGUCGUGGGCGGAUGGCAGUAGAUCGAGCCUCUGAGGGUAAGGGUAAGGGUAAGGGUUGGGUUCGGAUCUCUGCCAGUUUUCUGUUCAGGAUGAAAGGGAAGGAUAAUAAUAUGACUUGCAAGAGAGGAUUUGCUAUUCGAGUAGGUUCUUCCGUUCGCCCAAUUCGAACAUAGCAAACAACAAAAGAGACAAAGGGAAUCGAAAAGUUAUGGAUGAUGAAGGAUGAACCCUAGGUGUGAAUCCUGAGGGCUUGAGCCUUGAUGCAGCACAAACGAAAUCAAGACGCCAAUUCCAUAUCAAGGGAAGACAAAAGCUCAACAAAAGACAGCAUGAAAGACCAAGGGGUUGGACGAACUCUUAGGUUAUGGGCCCCUGAUGAUAGAGGAUGAACGUACUCUAAGGACUUCAGAUCGAGCCACUGAUUCAGUGCAAGUAUUUGGACAGGUUGAUUGGAUCGUUUGAUGAGUACGUUGAUAAAUGUCAAUCAUAG